This 1369-nucleotide ribosomal RNA is filed under the name uncultured bacterium. RNAcentral's name for it is "bacterial SSU rRNA". It matches the Rfam family "Bacterial small subunit ribosomal RNA", at positions 28 to 1381 of the family's 1533-position model. The record is from RNAcentral.
GACGAACGCUGGCGGCGUGCCUAAUACAUGCAAGUAGAACGCUGAAGAGAGGAGCUUGCUCUUCUUGGAUGAGUUGCGAACGGGUGAGUAACGCGUAGGUAACCUGCCUGGUAGCGGGGGAUAACUAUUGGAAACGAUAGCUAAUACCGCAUAAAAUUGAUUAUUGCAUGAUAAUUAAUUGAAAGAUGCAAUUGCAUCACUACCAGAUGGACCUGCGUUGUAUUAGCUAGUUGGUGAGGUAACGGCUCACCAAGGCGACGAUACAUAGCCGACCUGAGAGGGUGAUCGGCCACACUGGGACUGAGACACGGCCCAGACUCCUACGGGAGGCAGCAGUAGGGAAUCUUCGGCAAUGGGGGGAACCCUGACCGAGCAACGCCGCGUGAGUGAAGAAGGUUUUCGGAUCGUAAAGCUCUGUUGUAAGAGAAGAACGGGUGUGAGAGUGGAAAGUUCACACUGUGACGGUAUCUUACCAGAAAGGGACGGCUAACUACGUGCCAGCAGCCGCGGUAAUACGUAGGUCCCGAGCGUUGUCCGGAUUUAUUGGGCGUAAAGCGAGCGCAGGCGGUUAGAUAAGUCUGAAGUUAAAGGCUGUGGCUUAACCAUAGUAUGCUUUGGAAACUGUUUAACUUGAGUGCAGAAGGGGAGAGUGGAAUUCCAUGUGUAGCGGUGAAAUGCGUAGAUAUAUGGAGGAACACCGGUGGCGAAAGCGGCUCUCUGGUCUGUAACUGACGCUGAGGCUCGAAAGCGUGGGGAGCAAACAGGAUUAGAUACCCUGGUAGUCCACGCCGUAAACGAUGAGUGCUAGGUGUUAGGCCCUUUCCGGGGCUUAGUGCCGCAGCUAACGCAUUAAGCACUCCGCCUGGGGAGUACGACCGCAAGGUUGAAACUCAAAGGAAUUGACGGGGGCCCGCACAAGCGGUGGAGCAUGUGGUUUAAUUCGAAGUAACGCGAAGAACCUUACCAGGUCUUGACAUCCCUCUGACCGCUCUAGAGAUAGAGUUUUCCUUCGGGACAGAGGUGACAGGUGGUGCAUGGUUGUCGUCAGCUCGUGUCGUGAGAUGUUGGGUUAAGUCCCGCAACGAGCGCAACCCCUAUUGUUAGUUGCCAUCAUUGAGUUGGGCACUCUAGCGAGACUGCCGGUAAUAAACCGGAGGAAGGUGGGGAUGACGUCAAAUCAUCAUGCCCCUUAUGACCUGGGCUACACACGUGCUACAAUGGCUGGUACAACGAGUCGCAAGCCGGUGACGGCAAGCUAAUCUCUGAAAGCCAGCCUCAGUUCGGAUUGUAGGCUGCAACUCGCCUACAUGAAGUCGGAAUCGCUAGUAAUCGCGGAUCAGCACGCCGCGGUGAAUACGUUCCCGGGCCU